RNAcentral lists this long non-coding RNA (299 nucleotides) under Linum usitatissimum (flax). RNAcentral describes it as "long non-coding RNA (LUSI_LNC003874)". Lineage: Eukaryota; Viridiplantae; Streptophyta; Magnoliopsida; Malpighiales; Linaceae. The record is from RNAcentral.
ACAAAACACAAUCAAGUUGAUUAUCCAGUGAAACACAAGGUUUGAAUGAUCCAUUUCCACAUAGUAUUUGACGCAAAACAGUCAACAAUUAUCUAAACUUAAAUAAGCAUCCUUCAAAUACGACCAUAUUAUACUAUUACCAGUUAUUUACUCAUACCAGUCAACACCCACCACCAACUUGUCUUGUUUCUGUUCAUAAGUUAAGAACACCCCCAGAAGCACAACAACAACAGUAACAGAGCCCAUUCAAAAUACAAGUUUAAGUAUGUUACAAGUUCUACUUACCCAUAUAGUACGCG